This 157-nucleotide ribosomal RNA is filed under the name uncultured Basidiomycota. RNAcentral's name for it is "5.8S ribosomal RNA". It matches the Rfam family "5.8S ribosomal RNA". From Rfam's summary of the family: 5.8S ribosomal RNA (5.8S rRNA) is a component of the large subunit of the eukaryotic ribosome. It is transcribed by RNA polymerase I as part of the 45S precursor that also contains 18S and 28S rRNA. The record is from RNAcentral. Lineage: Eukaryota; Fungi; Basidiomycota.
AAAACUUUCAACAACGGAUCUCUUGGCUCUCGCAUCGAUGAAGAACGCAGCGAAAUGCGAUAAGUAAUGUGAAUUGCAGAAUUCAGUGAAUCAUCGAAUCUUUGAACGCACCUUGCGCCUUUUGGUAUUCCGAAAGGCAUGCCUGUUUGAGUGUCAU